Molecule: ribosomal RNA, 253 nt
Filed under: uncultured bacterium
Lineage: Bacteria
Description: partial 16S ribosomal RNA
Rfam family: Bacterial small subunit ribosomal RNA
Source: RNAcentral
UACGGAGGGAGCUAGCGUUGUUCGGAAUUACUGGGCGUAAAGCGCGCGUAGGCGGCUUUGUAAGUUAGAGGUGAAAGCCCGGGGCUCAACCCCGGAACUGCCUUUAAGACUGCAUCGCUUGAAUCCAGGAGAGGUGAGUGGAAUUCCGAGUGUAGAGGUGAAAUUCGUAGAUAUUCGGAAGAACACCAGUGGCGAAGGCGGCUCACUGGCCUGGUAUUGACGCUGAGGUGCGAAAGCGUGGGGAGCAAACAGG